GCCCCUGUAGCUCAAUGGAUAGAGCACCACACUCCUAACGUGGAAAUAUAGGUUCAAUUCCUAUCAGGGGCA
Parcubacteria group bacterium CG1_02_36_42 is the source of this 72-nucleotide non-coding RNA. The record is from Rfam.